This 5613-nucleotide long non-coding RNA is filed under the name Olea europaea (common olive). Its description in RNAcentral is "long non-coding RNA (OEUR_LNC003613)". The record is from RNAcentral. Lineage: Eukaryota; Viridiplantae; Streptophyta; Magnoliopsida; Lamiales; Oleaceae.
UGCGGUUUUUCAGACUUGACUUUUGAAUAUUUUCUCCUCUCCCUCUCUUCGUUUUUGGGAGAAAAUUUUCUCCCUUUCUUCUUGGCCCGUAGAAAUUUGAGAUUAUUAUUCUCUUGAUAGAUUCUUGUGAAUCUUAUGUGCUACAGUAACUUGGAUGCCGUUUGUGUGAGUAAUCUGUCGUAUGUGUAGCUGUGGCCGAUUUUGUGAGGAAGAAGUGUAGUUUCCAGAUUUGAGAUCCAUUUUUGGAUCGAUGAUUGAUCUGGUUAUUCUAUUUGGUUCUAUGUAUUGUACUCUCUCUGAGAGGUAGAAUUGUACUAGUGGAUUGGGCUGACUCUGAGCCCCCCAGAUUAAGCCAUUCAGGCCGAACUGGGUGAAUAUUUUUGCGUGUUCUUUUAUUUUUCUUACACUUUACGUUUGUGUUGUUAAUGUUGCUAUCGGUUUAAGGCAUAAAUUCCCUAAAAAUCUGGUAUCAGAGCCAUUAAAGCGGUGAGGUAAGGCAUAUUUAAAUACAGUUUGAUUUCUUGUCGUAUUAAUGCAUUUUCUUCACUUGUGCAGUAACAAGAAAGUGAAAUAAAUCGAUCAUUGAAAGCUAGGUCUUCGGUUUCGCAACUACAGAAAGCGGUACCGAUUUUUGUAAAAUACUAUAACACAGUAUUUGGUGAGAUCUUAUACAAUUAAACAAUAGUAGUUGUUUGCAUGAUAUAAAUGAUAUAUCUGAUCUUGAAGAUUGAUUGGUACCAACUGUUUUGGAAAUUUGAAAUUGGUCCUAUCAUGCUAUUGUGUUUCAGUCAGUGCAUGUUAGAUAACUGUCUGUUUGCCAUUUCGGGUCUACUUACUUGUCAAUUAUCUGCAUAAAUUUUUUAAAAAAACUUUUUCUGUAACUUAAGUGAUUUCUUGAAUUGAAUCACUUAUGUCCUCGAGUAAUAACCCUUUUACAGAACCCGCAAUGGGUUCGAAGGUUGAAUUGAGUCAAUUCGAUGGAAAGGGUGACUACUCUAUAUGGAAACAGAAAAUGAGGGUCAUUCUGGUCCAGCAGAGGGUUGCAAAAGCCCUUGACGAUCCUGACAAAUUUUCUGAUGAAUUGAAAGCUAAGUCUGCUGAAAUUGAAGAUAUGAAUGAAAUAGCAUAUAGUUCAAUCAUACUGCAUCUGUCUGAUAAUAUAGUGAGACAAGUUGAAGAACAUAAAACUGCUCGAGCCCUGUGGGAAGCACUAGAUGCUUUGUUCUUAACUAAAACACUACCUAAUAAGAUCUACCUAUUGGAGAAAUUGUUUAGCUUCAAAAUGGAUCCUGGAAAAGACUUAGAAUCUAAUCUUAGUGAUUUUAGCAUUCUGGUUAAGAGUCUUUCACAUAAUGAUAAUAAAUUCAAGGAUGAAGAUCUGGCUGUGAUUCUUUUAAAUUCACUACUUGAAUCUUAUAAAGAAAUCCGAAAUGCUAUAAAAUAUUCGAGAGAUGCCUUAACACAAACGAUUGUGACAAAUGCCCUAAGAUCUAGGGAAUUGGAUUUUAAGAAGGAAUCAAGAACUAAUCCCAGAGAGGAGAACCUGUUUGUGAGAGGGAAAACUGAAAAAAGGGAAAUCUAUUCAUCGAAUAAGAGGUUCAAAUCUAAAUCUAGAGGUAGGUCCAAGUCAACAGACAAAAGUAACAAAAAAUGUUAUCAUUGUGGAAAACUUGGACACUUCAAAAGGGACUGUUUUGAAUUAAAAAAGAAGUUAAAGGAACCUAAUAACAGUGAGUUAAAUAAUGCUGCUGUAAGUUCAGAACUUGACAGCCUUCUUGUUAUGAUUGUGUCUAAUGAUGGAAUAGAGACUGACUGGAUACUUGACUCUGGAUGUACUUAUUAUAUGUGACCCAAAUAAAACUUGGUUUUAUAACUACAAGGAGAUAGAACCCAGGAAAGUGUAUAUGGGUGAUAAUAAUUCACAAAAUGUUCUUGGAAUCAGUGAUAUUACAAUCAAAAUGUAUGAUGGUAGUGUCAGGCAGAUUAAAAAUGUAAGGCAUGUCCCAAAUCUAAAAAGAAAUCUCAUUUCACUAGGAAUUCACGAAGAUGAAGGACAUACAUUUAAAUCUGAAAAUAAUUCCUUGAAAAUUCUCAAAGGAUCUCUUGUAGUUAUGAAGGGACCAAAAAUAAAUGGUUUGUAUUACUUGAUGGGAGAGACUGUCAAUUCCCAGGAUUCGAAAUCCUUAACCAUCACUGAAAGUAAAUCUGAAUUGUGGCAUUGUAAGAUGGGACAUAUUGGUAAUAAGGGCUUAAAAUAUCUAAAUGAUCAAAAAUUGUUUGGAAAAGAUAAGAUAGAGCCACUUAACUUCUGUGAGACGUGUGUACUUGGAAAGUCUCAUAGAGUUAGCUUUGAGACGGGAUCACACACUACAAAUAGAACAUUAGAUUAUGUCCACUCAGAUUUGUGGGGUCCAGAAAGCCGCCCAACCUUUGGUGGGAACAAAUAUUUUCUUUCUAUAAUUAAUGACUAUUCUAGAAAAGUUCAUACCCUUUAAAAGCGAAAUCUAAGACAUUUCAAAAAUUUAGAAUGUGGUUAACGAUGGUUGAAAAUCAAUUGGGUAGAAAAUUGAAAACCUUAAGGAUAGAUAAUGGGUUGGAAUUCUGUAAUGCAGAAUUUGAUAACCUUUGCAAACAAAAAGGGAAUAAUUAGACAUAGAACUGUUAAGCAUCCACCCCAACAGAAUGGGGUAGCUGAAAGAAUGAACAGAACCCUUAUGAAUAAGGUUAAAUGUAUGCUGAUAAGUUCUGGUUUAGCAAAAGGUUUUUGGGCAGAAGCUUUAUGCACUGCAGUCUAUCUAAUUAAUAGAUCAUCCUGCAGUUUAGUAAAGUUCAAAACCCCUCAGGAAGUGUGGACUAGAAAGCCACCUAAUCUGUCUAAUAUCAGGGUCUUCAGAUGUUCUGCAUAUGCACAUCAAGUUGAAGGGAAAUUAGACCCUAGAGCCACUAAAUGUGUCAUGUUGGGAUACCCUAAAGGAGUUAAAGGGUACAGGUUAUGGGUACUAGGUGAGAAAGGCAUUAAGAUCAUUAACAGUAGAAAUGUAGUGUUUAAUGAAUCUGAAAUGUCAUGCUUGAAGAAUAAAAGGGAUAAACAGGAAGCAAUUGAAAAUAGUACUUCACAGAAUGAGGUGAAGUUGGCAAGAAUGGGUCACAAUCCUACAGAUAUAACUGAACCUGAAUAUGUAUAGCCAAAUGAAGGGACAGAUAACAUAGAUGAAGGUGAAGCUACUACCUCCCAAACUGAAACUGAAAUUGUGACACAAGAUAAUCCUGUAAGUGAAACUAGUACCCAAGAUUACCAAUUAGUGAGAGAUAGGGAAACGAGACAAAUUAAGCCUAAUCCCAGAUAUGAAGCUAACAAUCUGACUGAUUUUGCCCUAAUCACAGGUGAAAACUUAGAACAUGCUGAACCCUUAUCUUAUGAAGAAGCUAUAGCUAGUCCUAAGUCUCAGAAUUGGAGAGAGGCCAUGAGAGAAGAAAUGAAAUCUCUGAUUGACAAUAAAACAUGGAAACUUGUUAAGAAACCAAAAAAUCAGAGAGUGGUUCAAUGCAAGUGGAUUUAUAAACUCAAAGAAGGCAUUUCCCAACUGACCCUUUGAGGUAUAAGGCAAGGUUAGUGGCCAAGGGGUUCAUCCAAAGGGAGGGAAUUGAUUACAAUGAAAUUUUUUCACCUGUGAUCAAAUAUAAAACUAUAAGGCUAAUGCUUUCUCUAGUUGUUCAGUUUAAUUGGGAACUUGAACAAUUAGAUGUCAAAACAGCCUUUUUGCAUGGGGAAUUGGAUGAGGACAUCUAUAUGUGUCAACCUCAAGGUUUUGAGGAAAAAGGGAAAUCUGACUAUGUUUGUAAAUUAGAGAAAUCCCUGUAUGGACUAAAACAAAGUCAAAGACAGUGGUACGUCCGAUUUGACACAUAUGUUGUGAAAAUUGGUUUUAGAAGGAGUAUGAUCAUUGCUUGUAUUAUUACACCUCUAAACCUGCCAGCAAGAUAUAUCUAUUCUUGUAUGUAGAUGAUAUGCUGCUGGCCAGUGCAAGUAAGGCUGAAAUAACAAGAAUGAAGAAUCUCCUAAAAUCAGAAUUUGAAAUGAAAGAUUUAGGGAAUGCCAAGAAAAUACUAGGAAUGGUCAUAACUAGAGAUAGACAUCAAGACAGGUUAACAAUAACUCAAGAAUCUUACCUGCAUAAAUUCAUAUCAAAAUUUGGCAUGAAAGAGGCAAAGUCUGUUAAUGUUCCACUUGCUGCUCACAUGAAUCUCUCUUCAGCCCAAUGUCCUAAAAAUGAAUCCGAAGUUAAGGACAUGAAAAAUAUUCCUUACUCUAAUGCAAUAGGAUCAGUAAUGUUUUCUAUGAUCACAACUAGACCUGACCUAGCAUAUUCAAUCAGUUUUUUAAGCAGGUUUAUGGCUAACCCUGGGAAACCACAUUGGGCUGGUUUAAAAUGGCUAUUAUGGUAUAUAGCUGGGACACUAAAGGUAGGUUUAGUGUACAAAAAGGAAUCAGAACCAUUAACCCUUAAGGGGUACAUGGAUUCUGAUUUUGCAGGAGAUAAAGAUAAAAAAAAUCUACCACUGCUUAUUUCUUUUCACUUGGUGGUAAUUAUAUCACAUGGAAGUCUCAACUUCAGCCUAUCGUCACUUUAUCCAGUGCUGAAGCUGAAUAUGUGGCUAUUACUGUAUGUGUUAAAGAAUGUAUAUAGCUAAAAUGAAUUUUAAGUGAACUGAAUUUUUUGUUAACUUCACCAGUUAUACUUAUUGAUAGUCAAAGUGCCUUAUUAUUAAGCAAGAAUCCUGUCUACCAUGAAAGGUCCAAACACAUUGAGGUGAAGUAUCAUUUUAUAAGAGAAAAACUCUCUUCAGGUGAAAUGGUUAUUGAAAAAAUUCAUAUUGACAUUAAUCCAUCUGAUAUGGGCACUAAAAUUCUGCCUGUAAGUAAAUUCAGAAUUUGUCUGUCACUUUUUAAUAUUGAUACUGGGUAAUUUUCUUUGCAGGUACCUUGGGCAAUGAUGUUGUUCAGCUUUCCACAAAUGUGCAAUUCAGCAACUGAGAGAGUGAGUGCAAUUUUUGAGAGCCAAGGUGAAGAUUGAAGGAGAAGACAUGUUUCUCCAAAAUUGCUACUUAAGGGAGGGUAAUAUGGACAUUUACUGCACCUUAAGUUGGUGACGUUACGUGGCAGCUCCUGAUUCGCUCAUACCAUAUAACUUGGAUCUGUGUUUCUUUUGGCCAUGUGUGGACCGUUCGAUUGAAUAAACGGUGGAGAUGAAAAAUAGCUGGCCCUUAGUCUUCUGAAGGAUACGGCUGGGGUGUGGUUUUUCAGACUUGACUUUUGAAUAUUUUCUCCUCUCCCUCUAUUUGUUUUUGGGAGAAAAUUUUCUCCCUUUCUUCUUGGCCCGUAGAAACUAGAGAUUAUUAUUCUCUUGAUAGAUUCUUGUGAAUCUUCUGUGCUACAGUAACUUGGAUGUCGUUUGUGUGAGUAAUCUGUCGUAUGUGUAGCUGUGGCCGGUUUUGUGAGAAAGAAGUGUAGUGUCCAGAUUUGAGAUCAAUUUUUGAAUCGAUGAUUGAUCUGGUUAUUCUAUUUGGUUCUAUGUACUGUACUCUCUCUGGGAGGUAGAAUUGUACUGGUGG